This 507-nucleotide long non-coding RNA is filed under the name Monodelphis domestica (gray short-tailed opossum). Its description in RNAcentral is "lncRNA (ENSMODG00000044138.1)". The record is from RNAcentral. Lineage: Eukaryota; Metazoa; Chordata; Mammalia; Didelphimorphia; Didelphidae.
UAGUUGCUUUGAGAAAGGACAACAAUUUUAAUAUAAACUAAGUCAGGGUAACACAAAGAAAUGACUGGGAGGAAGAGAAUUGGUGAGAAAAGCAGGGGGCAGUGUCCCUUCUCUAACUAACCCUUUUCCCUCCCUCCUCGAGUUUGGGGAACUCAGGCCUUGGCAGCCUGCACCACCUGGAGAAAGAGUCAGGUUUACCUGCCCUGGUCUUUGGUCCCUGGCCACAGUUCAGACCCAGGGCACCAGGAGCUGUGAGCUGCUCUUAUCCUUCUUGAAGACGACCAAGAAUCACCCUAUGAUGAGUAAGCAAUAUGGUGGCUAUCUAAAACUUGAGUCUCGGUUACAAGAACACGAAGAGAAAAGUGAUCUUAAUGCAAUGGGCGGGAAAUCUUCCUGUUUUUAUUUUCAAUCUUUGGCUGGCUAGGAAAAUAUCCAUGUAUUCUUUCUUUAAAAAUGUUUUUUUUCUUGAUAUCUUUUGUGUUGAAAUCACAUUUAUAUUUAGUGAUA